AAUCAACGCUGGCGGCGUGCCUAACACAUGCAAGUCGAGCGCGAAAGUGGAGCAAUCCAUGAGUAGAGUGGCAAACGGGUGAGUAACGCGUGGGUGACCUGCCUUCGAGCGGGGGAUAACGUUCCGAAAGGGACGCUAAUACCGCAUGACAUCCUGCCUUUGAAGAGGCGGAGAUCAAAGCCGGGGAUCGCAAGACCUGGCGCUCGAUGAGGGGCCCGCGUCUGAUUAGCUAGUUGGUGGGGUAACGGCUCACCAAGGCAUCGAUCAGUAUCCGGCCUGAGAGGGCGGACGGACACACUGGGACUGAGACACGGCCCAGACUCCUACGGGAGGCAGCAGUGGGGAAUUGUUCGCAAUGGGCGCAAGCCUGACGACGCAACGCCGCGUGGAGGAUGAAGACCUUCGGGUCGUAAACUCCUUUCGAUCGAGACGAACGGUUUCCGGGUAAACAAUCCGGAAGAGUGACGGUACCGAGAGAAGAAGCCCCGGCUAACUCCGUGCCAGCAGCCGCGGUAAUACGGGGGGGGCAAGCGUUGUUCGGAAUUACUGGGCGUAAAGGGCUCGUAAGCGGACAACUAAGUCAGACGUGAAAUCCCUC
RNAcentral lists this ribosomal RNA (598 nucleotides) under uncultured soil bacterium. Its description in RNAcentral is "bacterial SSU rRNA". It matches the Rfam family "Bacterial small subunit ribosomal RNA", at positions 28 to 605 of the family's 1533-position model. The record is from RNAcentral.